UGGAUUAAUUCGAUGCAACGCGAAGAACCUUACUACCCUUGACAUGUCCGGAACUUGCCAGAGAUGGCUUGGUGCCCGAAAGGGAAUCGGAACACAGGUGCUGCAUGGCUGUCGUCAGCUCGUGUCGUGAGAUGUUGGGUUAAGUCCCGCAACGAGCGCAACCCUUAUCAUUAGUUGCUACGCAAGGGCACUCUAAUGAGACUGCCGGUGACAAACCGGAGGAAGGUGGGGAUGACGUCAAGUCCUCAUGGCCCUUAUGGGUAGGGCUUCACACGUCAUACAAUGGUCGGUACAGAGGGUUGCCAAGCCGCGAGGCGGAGCCAAUCCCACAAAGCCGAUCGUAGUCCGGAUUGUUCUCUGCAACUCGAGAGCAUGAAGUCGGAAUCGCUAGUAAUCGCAGGUCAGCAUACUGCGGUGAAUACGUUCCCGGGUCUU
Molecule: ribosomal RNA, 435 nt
Filed under: uncultured Thiobacillus sp.
Lineage: Bacteria; Pseudomonadati; Pseudomonadota; Betaproteobacteria; Nitrosomonadales; Thiobacillaceae
Description: bacterial SSU rRNA
Rfam family: Bacterial small subunit ribosomal RNA
Source: RNAcentral